RNAcentral lists this ribosomal RNA (208 nucleotides) under uncultured bacterium. RNAcentral describes it as "partial 16S ribosomal RNA". It matches the Rfam family "Bacterial small subunit ribosomal RNA", at positions 568 to 774 of the family's 1533-position model. The record is from RNAcentral.
UGCGUAGGUGGUGAGGUAAGUCGGAUGUGAAAUCUCCGGGCUCAACCCGGAAAUGGCAUUGGAAACUACCUUGCUGGAGGAUUUGAGGGGGGAUUGGAAUACUUGGUGUAGCAGUGAAAUGCGUAGAUAUCAAGUGGAACACCAGUGGCGAAGGCGAAUCCCUGGAAAAUACCUGACACUGAGGCACGAAAGCUAGGGGGAGCAAACA